Amphiprion ocellaris (clown anemonefish) is the source of this 1167-nucleotide long non-coding RNA. The record is from Ensembl. Lineage: Eukaryota; Metazoa; Chordata; Actinopteri; Pomacentridae.
GAGCUGCGUGUCUUGUACGUGCAUCCUUUUUCCUCUUCCUGGAGCCAGAGGGCUACAUCAGUAGCGUGGUUUGGUGUGGAUCUGUGUGGUGGUUUCGAGACGCUGGCUGUCGAGCUUUCGCUAUUCCCUUUCGUCUGGUAUGUUCCGACACAGUCGCUCUAUCGCUGGGCGAUAUUAGUGCUGUGCCUGAUGCACUUUCUGCUUCCUAGCAGAGUCGGCCCAUAUCCUGGCUGAAGGCCGGGAGCCGUGUGUGUGUGUGUGUGUGUGUGUGUGUGGCCUCGGAGCCAGGCAUAAUAAUCCAUGCGCUGCAUUGGACUUUUGAGGAGCUGUUGGGCCAGGUGGCUGGUGGCUGACUGAUUCCCCCGGCGGUGGUGGUCCCUUCACUCCCUGUACAGUAGUGCACUUGGGUGUCCGUCAAUGGUUUUGUUUUAUUCACAUGUGGUGUGGUGCAUCAGGACCCUUCCCUUCCCCCCUUCAGUUAGUCAUCUCUGCCUGGUAAGCCCUCAGCCCUGUGCCUAGUGACUGUCUUUCGGUGGCAAACUUAACUAAUCCAGGGGGGCCCCUGGAGGAUUAGAUUAAUAUUGUGCCACUUACUACCGAGUUAUUUCUUGGCAUCACCACCAAGGGUUUUUUAGUGAGGAAAGAGUGUAAAUUUUUAAAUACUGUUAAUAAAUUUCAUUUUUCUAUACUUUAUUUGGAAUCGCGUCAGUCUCUGGUGUCUGUCGUACCUGUGUGACCUUUCCUUUGUCUGUAUUGGAGCAGUGGUCCUCUCUCCAUAGAUCUCCUGGGGGUGAAAUUCCCCCAGGUGGCGUUGUCGGACAUGUGAUAAAUAACAAAAGUACAUUCAAUCCCUCGUACCCUUGCCACAUGUGCAGUAACUCAAUCUUUCCUCGUUUUAGUUCACCGACGGCUAGUUUAGAUGUUUGAGGACAGUUUCACGAUGCACGGAAUCUCCGCACACCGCAUUGCAUUUGCAUAAAGUAGAAGUCCAGUCUACUUUAUGCAAAUGAGCUGCAGGCCCGCUCCGGGUAAACACACUGGACCACAGCUGGAAACGAACCGCAACCGGACCAGCAUGCAACUGCGAUGUGUUUCCAGCUGCGAGCCGGUGUGUAAGUUGUUUAUGUUGUGUCAACUGCUGCACAAUAAAAUGUGAAUUGAAAACAA